RNAcentral lists this long non-coding RNA (223 nucleotides) under Gossypium raimondii (Peruvian cotton). RNAcentral describes it as "long non-coding RNA (GRAI_LNC002655)". Lineage: Eukaryota; Viridiplantae; Streptophyta; Magnoliopsida; Malvales; Malvaceae. The record is from RNAcentral.
CUAAAAGCAACAAAGACAUGUAAACAUCCAAAACAUCACGACAAUAUUUAUGCAACAUUUCUACCACAUUUCCUUAUUCCCCCAGCUUAAUGAAUAAUAAUAUUAUCACCUACACAAAAACUAAGCCUAAGUUGGAUCACUUCCUUGGUAUCCUCGCACCGCUCACACCGCAAACGUUAAAUAUCUGCAAUGGUUAGAGAGAGUGGGUGAGCUUAAACAAGCU